GGAAAAUGGACGGAUGGGUGUUAUUUUAAGACUGAUUUUUCCCCCACUUGGUCGUAAUAAUGGUACGCUCCGUUGCCAAGGUGCUAGUGGAAGCCAGUCCACUUCACCACGCCUGUCGGCAACAGUUAGCCAAACUUGUAGCCCUUGUCGCUAUACGCAAAAAUGUACCUGAAGUCGAAUGUUGUUUGCACUUUAUGUGCAACUGAAGGAUAAACAGUCGCCUGGAAUCUUGUUUUUUUUUCCCACCACGGAAGCCAAGUUCCAUUCCUACCAGGCAGUUUCAUCCAACUUAAUGUGGCACCAUGGACCAGGAAGAGGUGCGGUCAGAGCAGGACCAGAUUUCCAUGCGGCUCCAAGGUGAUGGUUUGCCCUCGGAGGCCAGUUCAGACGAGCGACAGCGCCACCUUUGGCAGCGGCUCCUCGACGCCGAGGCGAAGCUGCAGCAGUCCACACAGGAGCUGCAUACUUUACGUUCACAGCAGGCCAACGAAAUGAAGGAGGUGGACAGCUAUGUUGGGCAUAUCCGUGGGCUUUUGCAACAGCGCGAGUGUGUGACUGCUGGCUAUGAAAGAGACAAUGAACAUCUGCGACAAGAGCUGCACCGCAUCAGUCAGCAACAAGAGAUUCAGAGCAAGGAGCUGGCGGAGAUGUUAGCCCAGGAAGACCUGGGGGAGAUAGGCCUGAGCAGCCCCAGUGAACAGGUGGCUUACUUACUGGUGGAGCGGGCAACACUGCUUGAAAGACUAGAAGGUGCUGAAAGGAGGCUUGACACCCAGAGUUUAUCUGGCAACAAUAGGGAUGUCCCACUACAGGGUUCGUCCCAGACUCCUUGGAAGAAACUCUUUGGUCUGCGCAAGUCUGGUCAGAGCAAAAACAAUAUUGCCCCUGCUCACAGCGAGGAGAUCUCCCAUGAGCGUAAUGAGCGCCAGCGGCUGGAGCGCGACUUGGACGAGGCGUCAAGCAGGUUGGAGAUGGCUCAUCAGGAAAUCCGAAGGCUCAACAAUGAGCUUGAUGUGGCCAAAAGCAACAGUUUGGACGUGUGUGAGUCAGAGCUUCAGGAAACGCUGCAAGAAUUAGAGAUUCUCAGGAAAGAAGUGGACAAACUGAAACAAUGCGAUAUGAUGAAGCUGCAGAGGGCCAAAGAGCAAAGUGACAGAUUAGAUGCAGACAACAUAAGUCUGAGGGAGAGAGUGCAUUCUUUAGAGUCGGAGAAGAAAAAUAUGCUUCAGCGGCUGGAAACAAGCAAUGACAACCAAUCCCUGAAAGAUGACAGAAGUCAAAAGAACGUUGAACCACAGAACAUACUGGCUGACUUUUUAUCAAAAGAAACUGAUCCGACUCACAAACGCUGUCAUGCGAUGAUUGAGGACAGGCUUGUUCAGGUGAGAGAGUUGGAGCGCCAACUUCAGCGGCUACGCAAGGAGCAGGAGGAACUGGAGGAGAGGAACGAGGAGCUGGAGGCUCUGCUAGGGGAAGCCCAGAAUGCCAGCAAGGAGGCGAGGCAUCGCCAUGAAGGAGAACUGGAAGGACUACAUCAGAGGAUCAAAAACCUUGAGGGAGAGCUGAAGAAGCAGGAAACACAAUUUAAUCUGUUAAAGAAUGGAGAUGAGGUCCAAACCACAGAGCCCUUCUUACAGCUGCACAUUCGAGAAAGUGGCCCGGAGAGACUGGCUCUGCUGGAAGCUCGUCUGACCGAGGAGAGGAACUGGAGAAAACAGCUAGAGUUGGACUUAAGUGCUGCACAGGCUGCCCUAAAAAAAGACAAGGAGGCUUUACAGAUUGGUGAGAGAGAGCUGAAGAAGCUGAGACUUGAGGUCAGCAGUCUCCAGACUGAAUGCCAGCAAGGGAAAACCCUCAUCAAGAGUCUUAGCCAAGUCAAGGGGGAAAAGGCAUUUCUGGAGGAGAAGUUAGCUCAGAUGGAGCGUGCCCACCGGCGACACCAGAGUGAGAUGGAACGCCACAAGGACAGUAACCAAACCCAAAAUGACCUGCAGGAAUACCAAGUACAGGUUGACCAACUUCAAGAGCAGACUGAUCGACAAGCCAAAGAACUUAGCAUCCUUCAAACAGAACACAAAAAACUCAGGGAUGAGAUGGUCUCUGAACGGCUGCUGACGGCAGAGCUGCAGGCCAAGCUGAGUGACAACGUCCAGAAGAAACUGGCAGCCGAAGGGGAAAAAGAGAAACUGGAGCUUGAGUUGCAACACCUUAAGAAGCAACUUCAGCAGCAGCAGGAUCAACUCUCUUUGAAUGAUGAAGCACUUAGCAGAAACUUGAAGUCUGCACACUUGGAGUUAACUUUUGGUCCAGUGGAGAAGACCAAAGAUCAGCAGGAGAAUCACUUACAGACCAAACAAGUGGAGGUGCAGCAACUGGCCUCUCAGCACCAAGUGGCUUGGCAGGCCCAGAUCAAUGAGGCACAGGCACACAUCAAGUCCCUGGACUUAGUGCUGAGUCAGAAGGCAGAGGAGGCUAAACAGAUGAAGCAGGACUUGCAGAGGGUGCAGAGUCUGUUUACCUCGGCAGAGCGAGAGCUACGCUACGAAAAGGAGAAAAACAUUGACCUAAAGAGGCACAAAACCCUGCUAGACAAUGAAAAACUCAAGCUUUCUGCAGAGCUGAACCAGGUCCAGACCAAGCUAGCCCAAAUGGAAAAGAGUUUUCACAUUAAGACGGCUGAUUUGGAACGCCAAGAGCAAAGAAUUAGGGAACUGGAGCUGGAACUGGCACGCAACUCAGCCAGCCGCAACGCCACCUCCAGUUUGCAAGAAGAGCUGCAGGUUGAGAGAGCACGGGUCAUUGCGGCUGACAAGAAGGUGGUAGAACUGCAGCAACAGCUCAAGACGAUCCAGCACCAGCUGCGCAUGGAGGAAGCCCGGGCCAGCGAGAGCAGCCGCCUGGAGCGGGAAAGCAGGGAUCUAUCUGACACCUUGUCAUCCCUCAGAGCGCAACAGCAGGAGGACCACAUCAACAGGAAGCUAUUAGAGCAGCGCGAGGAGGAGCUCCAGCACCAAGUACGUUCCCUGAGGUUGAAGGAGGUGACGCUCACCAGGACCAAUGCUGAGCUUAGCCACAGAGCACAGCAGCUAGAGUACGAACUAAAUAAGGCUCGAGAGGAGGUAAAAGAUAGCCAAGCCUCUUACCGUAGACUGAAGGACGAUCUGAUGGCCUCUCAGCUUGAGUGUGACAGAAUGCAGGGAGAGCUUAAGCAGGUUUUUCUACAGCUGAACAUUAACAUCAGAAAGUACAAUGAAAAACAGAGUCGACACAAAACCAAACUACAUCAGGCCAGGCAGGUCUUCCUGAAAGCCACUGCACAGAGGGACAACACCAUCCAGAAACUAGAGAACGAGUUGACUCUGGCUGCCAGCUUCUCACACAAGGCAAAAGAGAGCAUUCAUAAUGUAAUGGAGGAAAAUGAGAAGCUUCUGGAGGAGAGGAGGGUGCUGUUGCUUAAGAUAAGCGAGGCGGAGGAAAUGGGCAAUAAUGGCAUGAGGGCUGCAUCCACCGUUCAGCACCGGGUCUAUGUCUUAGAAGCAGAAAACAGGCAACUACAGGAUCAAACCCUCAGGCUGUCCAAUCAGGUCAGUUCCUUGGAGCGUGCCCUGAGGAACGCCCAGUCCUUCAACAGCAAUGAGAAUUCCAAGAAAGUGCUCUGUGACAGCAUCCUGCAAACAUCUACAAUAAGCCUAACGUCUGGUUCGUAUGACCCUCGAGAACUGUUGGACGCAAUCUGCCAAACUCAGUUGGAGCCCGUGUUGGACGGCACGCGAGCAUCUUCCUACACGCAGCAGCUGUCAGAGCAAAGCUACCUGAACCUCGUCUCCCCGUUGUUUCCUCCUGGCACUACCUUGGGGAGUCCAAAUAUCAGUGAUGAUGCAUGAGAGGCUGCGCCUAUGAGAGAAUCACAGCUCCACAGGAUGUGUGCUUUACUCACUGAGGUGUACGCCCGGCCACACAUGCUACAGCAGUAGGCCUUGGCGUUUUUGAUGGCGUGCGCUGACAAGUGGAUCUGCAACGAUGCUGAGUCGGAGUAGGCACGGUAGCAGUUGGGACAUUUGUACGGCUUGUCUUUAUUGUGCUGCCUCUGGUGAGACUGUAAAAACACACAUUUAACAGGAUAUAACUUCAUUUUGACCAUUUGAAUUGUUGUCUCCUGCAGCACUGUAUUGAUAAGUUGAGGCUAGAGUGGGUGAAAUAAAUGUGACUAAUGUACCAACCUGAAGGUUGGACAACUGUGUAAAAGCCUUUUCACAUCCAGGGUGAGCACAUUUAUAGGGUCUGUCACCGGUGUGGAUUCUGUCACAGAGAAAGCGAAGCAAGUCCCUGACCAACCUGGUGUGCUGCUGCAGAUGUGAGAGCUGGCGGAAGGAGUUGUCACAGUAGGAGCAGUGGUAGGGCUUAAUACCCAGGUGGAUGCGCAGGUGCUGCGACAAGUAAGAGGCGUUGGCGAACGUCUUGGAGCAGUGGGGACACUUGUGCGGUUUGACCUCCGUAUGGGACUUGGAGUGGAUCUGCAUCUCCGAUUUGGUCAGGAAGGUGAGUGGGCACACUUUGCAUCUUGACAAUGGCAAAAGAAGUUUAAUAAACACUUUAAAAGCAAGACAAAAAAAUGCACCGCUAUUAAUCUUGAUCAAAAAACAACUACAGUGUGAGGAAAAUGUGAUUGCAGAAUUUGUUUGGUGAAUUAUUGUAGCUCAGCACUAACGAAGUCAUUCCUGAAUAACUGACAGUUAAUUUUAGACCUACAAAAUGAAGAGGACAAAUGCGGAAGAAGUUUUUUUUGUAGCCCAGUGCUUCCCAUAAAUACAUUUAUUUGUAGCGGGCCCACCAGAAAUUAAUUUGGACCUGUUGGUCAUUAUUCAAACACAAUAGAAUGUCACUGUCUGUGACAUUACACUAAGGAACAGAACGUCACUAACCCAAACACCUACCUGGUGCAAAAAACCUACAUUUAACAGAUAGAUAGAUAGAUAUAUAAAUAAAAUCAAACACUGUAGUGUGUUACAUUAUAUGGCCUAAAAUCUUAAAUCGCGAUUUAUAUUGCAGCCUCCUGCGAAAAUGAUAUAUCACAAUGUAUUACUAGGUAUGUAAAUGAUAAUAAAACCAUUUCAAAAUGGGUUGCAUGUUGUUAUCUGGUUACUUUCUGAUGUAACAUGGUUCUAUCUACACUUCUGUUAAAAUGAGAUAGGCACUCAUUAUUCAAUUUGACAACUUCACAUUAGUUUUAAGCGAUACUACAAAUUUGAGUUUUCAAUACCAAGUAGUUACAGGGGCAGUAGUAGUAGAAUAUAUUUUUUUAAUCACAUUUAUAUUCAGACAAAAACACAGGAUGGCGGUGUAACAAUAUCAAUUAAAUAUUAAAAUCAUUUUCAACCAUUGGCUCAGAUUUAUAUCCUUUGGUUUUUACCCCUAAAUCUCUCGUGCGUUCAGGGACUUAUUUCCUGAGUUUGUAAACAAUAAAAAAAAUCCACAAAGUAUUUUUUGAUAGUAAAAAAUAUUGACCUAACCAUUUUAUCGAUCAUAGUCUGACACUAUACUUGAGUUGUUACUGUCGAUAUUUGUAUUGAUCCGCCCACCUUUGUCUACAUUCAUGAGCUCUAUCUUGUGGUUAGCAAAGCAUCCUAAAACAUGUAGUGUAGCAUGUUUAGUUAUUCCUCUUGCUCCAGGGAGGAUUCUUACUAAAUAAACUGUUCAUUUGCCACCAUGGAGGCAAUGAUUGCUAACUUAGAAGUGGUUUUAUCGACAUUUAGCGGCAUUACCCGCGAACGCUACAUUGCGUUGAGGACGCUUUUGUGUGCUGUCAAAUUUGCAGGACACAGGUAGAAUGUGUCAUCAAUAUGCAUUUUUACAAUAGAACUGUAGUAUUAAAAGUUAUAUUGUUGGCCAAAUGUACAUCAUUUAGAGAGGUGGUAAUCUUUGGCCAACUCAUAAUUCAGUUACAAUUAUGAUUCAGGAGCUACGAUUUGAUCAAAAAUCGAUUAUUGAUGCAUCUUUAUUUGCUGUAUAUUGAUGCAGUUUUACAUUUAUUUUCGUUUAUCUAAAUAAGCGUUUAUCACUUGCAACUUUUGAAAAAAGUGCAUUUGAACCAAGAAACGGUUGACUAACGUUUAUUAAAUGAAUGAAAAUGUGUGCAAAACUGGGACAUAAGUGCCCUAAAAUAAAGAAGCUGGUCGGAUCCGUGAGGUGGCUUGCUGCAAACAGCCAAAUUUUAGAACUGCCUAAAGUACUUUAUUUACAAUAAAUAAAUCAAUGAUUAAUUAUUGACGUUUACUAAUCGAUUUUUUAAUCGUCCUUGUCCGAAUUGCAAUGCAUCUAAAAUCUAUUAUUUUCCCCACCCCUAAUCAUUUAUGUAGUAUAUUGUCUGUAUCCCACAAGGUUAAAACACACGCUGCAACCUUAUCUAUUGCACAAACACGAACAUAAAUGCCUACGCAAAAACAUAAACACUAAAUUACACGCCUAACUACACUACACACCACACCACAAGGCACGUGAUAUAUUGGGUCACCCGCAGUAUUCUUUCCUAACACUCUACGCUAUAUUUAGGGAAUAUUCUGAUCUCCCUGGCACUAAUUACAAAUCCUGUAGCCUUUUUUGGGCACUUUUGGAAUUUUGUAGUCCGCCAUGAAAGCACACAUUGUAGCGGGUUCUACUGUUGGCCCCUACCCUAUAUAAAAAUAUUUAAAAUUUAAUUUGUGACAUAAAAAUAACUGACAGAAGAACAUUUAGUCAUAUUUAUAAUGUUUUUGUUUACUUAUUAAUAAAAAAAUUGCCCCACAAAUAACACCGAAGACCCGUUUAUCAUGUAAAUGAGUCAUACUUGAGUGGCACUUUUCUACCUUCAAGGUACUCAAAGCGCAUUGACACUAUUUCCACAUUCACCCAUUUACAAUAACAUUCACACACUGAUGGCGGGAGCUGCCAUUCAUGUGAACCAAACCACAUAUGACAACAGUAAUUCUUAUCAAUGUAUUAUUCAAUUAGUGAAGCAUUCAUCUGGUCAGGUCAUAUUAGGGAUGACACAUAUGAACAUUUCUUAUCAAAGCUAUUAUUAUCGCGGUAUUUUUAAAUGUGCUCAAAAUGUUUAAAAACUGCUUUUACUGACAUUUUUAAACCAAGUUUUAUUCAAAAACAACAAACUCAAAAUUAUUUCCUUUGUAGAAGAAACAAUAUUGUAGAUAAAAACACUGUUUCAUUGACCUCAAUGUGCAUAUGAAAGCAACAAUAAUUAUAAACAAGUAAUAUGGCAGAAAAAAAAACCCAUAUAAAAUAAAUGGCAAAAUUGUGCAAGAUAGCACUUUAUGGACAUAAGAGAUAAACAAAAACAAUUGUAAGAAUUUUGAAAGAUGGCACCUGAUGAAGACGCAACUGCACUUUUUGUCCAUAUACCGGUAAGUAAAAACAGUGUUCAUGUAUGAGAUCUAGUAUAAUACAUAGGGCUGCACGAUUACGGCCAAAAUAAUAGGAUUAUUUUUAUCGAUAUUGAAAUCCUGAUUAUGUUAGGAAAAAUUUGUUUGGGUGAGGCGUAAACGUGACGCCAUCCUGUAAUUUGUAAUGUCUAAUAAAAAAGCCAUGGAUAAAUGUUAUCCAUAUAUUUAAAGACAAAUAUAUAUAUAUAUAUAUAUAUAUAUAUAUAUAUAUAUUUGUUCGUUAAUAGUAUCAACGUCUCAGCUUUUUCUCAUUACAUGAUGCCUUUAUCUCUAUUUUUACAUUUUGAAAGAGAGAGGUAUUUCUUUUAAGUUAUGUACAAUUAUAUGUGUAUGUACAUGCUGUAUCGGGACAGAUCCAUUAAGAAUUUGAGCAGAAAUAUGUCGUAUAGGAAUUAACUAUACACAAUAAAACAUUAAUAAAAUGCUGUGUCACAUGAAUGGUUUUUAAAGUAAUCCUUUUGAAGUUAAAAAAACAGGUAAUGUAAAAAAACAUAACCUUGUGUUUACUUUCUGAUAUCAAUAUGAUAUCAAAGCAGUUUGGAUAAUGAAGAUGAAGUAUAAUAAACAAGCUGUGUUCUUCUCUAACAAUGCAACAAAUUGGCCAACAAAAAUAAACAGAAGUGAUACUUCUCACAUCUGUUACACAAUCUUCACAGCCUGCGUUCAGUUUGAUGAGAUGACAAAACAUUACAGCUAGUAUUGAUGUUAUUGGAACACUGAUACAGUUCGCAGUUAAAUAAAGGACGAGGGAGCGUCCCAGUAAACGAACUAAAGACUUUAUAAACAAGUUGUAGCAGUGUUCCCAACACAUCGCCCGCUGCACGUUUCCUCACAUCAUUAACUCUGUCACAGCAGCUAAUGGACGCUGUAUUGACAAAAUAAAAGCAACGCCAAAUAGUUUUCUCCUUCUCUGUAUACUUUUAGUGUGAGACAAAUGCGUCUGUCUCCAAUAUUGUCCACACCUGUCGCCAUCUAAUAACAGCAGUGCACAUUUAAACGCACGCCGAGACUACGCAAAUGAAGCGAGGGAAUACGAAGUUUACUCCGAGGGGAAAUCUCCAAAGCCAAGUCUGUAUAGUUUUCCGAACGACGCCAGCGCUGCCCUGACUCCAUAUCUAAGAAGUAAGCAGUGUUGCCUAAAUGCAUUGAUAAAUGACAGUUUUUCAGUAAUUAAAAAUUUAAACGGUAUUACUAACCAUCAGGAAUUUUACCGCUGUUUAUCAUUAUACCGUUUACCGUUGCAUACCUAGUUCAUACUCGUGUUUUUAUCGACAUUUAUGUGAGGAAGCACUCUCACAAAUCAUCAACAGACCACUUAAUUAACUUGACAGCUAAAAGACCAGAAUUAAAACCCACUUAAGGAUGUCAAGUCUAAACCUGAUUUAUAGGAAAUAUGAAGUAGAAACUUUGAGCAUCCUACCUAUAGGUUUUCCCCUCUUUGGGUGCCACAGUGAUGCAGCCUUGGUCCGCUAGAAUCGGGUAGGGGACCACCAGCAGAGGACCUGACUCAGCUUUAAUCUUCUUACGCCCUCGCGGUGCUUUGGGUGGGGGGCCCAGCAGUCCUGCCAGGCCUCCAACCUUCAUGUGGUCCAUGCCGGGGCCAGUCGCCAACCCGGAGAGGAUAUUGACAGAGGGGGCACCGCCCAUGCGGUUCUGGCUGCUUGAGGUUGGAGUCGUGGGAGUUAAAGCCUCCGAGGUGCUGUGGCUGUCGGGUCGGGAUGAAGGAGACAGACCUGGGGGUGGGAGGCAGGGUAUUUAUGUCACAUACUCCAAUAUGUCUACCUAUUGUGCACUUCUUUAAAAACGUCUUUGGUAUCAAUGAAACAAUCAUUGGUAGCAGUUACAAGGUAAGUUUGGGUCAGAAUCAUAAAUUUACAUCAAUAAUACUCUAUUGGUGGGAACUAUUUCUUAUGUAAUGUUUAAUUGUAGACAUUCCAUAAAGUGGUGCCAUAUCCCCAUGCUUUGACAGUGACAUUACCAUUUUUUUCUUAAUUGUAGUAAGGCUGCAACGAUCAAAUCGAUUAAUUUGAUUAGAAAAAAGACAUCAAUUUGUAUUUCGUUGCUUCUAUGACUUGUUUAAUGAGACGAUGUUUUUGAUUGAGAAGUUUAUUGACAUCUUAAAGAAUUGAAUCCAUGUAAUGCUUUAAAAAGGCAAAUGGAUGGCAUAAAAAGCCAGUGUGUGUGGCCGCCGGACUAGUGGAGUGCCGAUUGAGAGAGAUGAUUCAAAAAACGACAACGUGGUAAGACAGCAAAGAGCUCUGAGAAGAUGAAAGAGGUUUGGUGAUCAUUUUUAGAAGUGAAAAAGACAGAUAUCGUUGUGAAAUGUUUGCAUUGUCAAACAGAGCUGGCAUUUCACAAUAGCACUACACCAAUGAUGCUACAUUUCUAGAAAUCGUCCUGCAUAUUUAAAAACAGCAAACAAGCAAAAACAAAGUACACAUCUAUUUUAUCAGCUAAUGUCUUCUUGUUUGUUCAACUUGCAUCACAAAUGUUUUUAUUCAAACACAUGUCAGGACAUGUUGCCAUCUACAGUUUAAAUGUUAAUGCUAACCACCGCUCCUCCAAUUAAUACCCUUUCAAAUGUGGAUAUGUUUAAUUGUUAAAUACAUUGGCACUCAAUUUAUCAUACCUUA
RNA transcript from Nerophis ophidion (straightnose pipefish), 10066 nucleotides. It is a transcript of the gene named coiled-coil domain containing 30, with no coding region annotated. The record is from RefSeq and is a predicted model, not a curated record. The transcript has 29 exons. NCBI's taxonomy places the organism in Eukaryota, Metazoa, Chordata, Actinopteri, Syngnathiformes, Syngnathidae.